GAAUCAAAGAAGGUAAUAAUCCUGUAGUCGAAAAUGUUGUCUCUCUUGAGUGGAUCCUGAGUACGACGGAGCACGUGAAAUUCCGUCGGAAUCUGGGAGGACCAUCUCCUAAGGCUAAAUACUCUCUAGUGACCGAUAGUGAACCAGUACCGUGAGGGAAAGGUGAAAAGCACCCCGGAAGGGGAGUGAAAUAGAACCUGAAACCGUGUGCUUACAAGUAGUCAGAGCCCGUUAAUGGGUGAUGGCGUGCCUUUUGUAGAAUGAACCGGCGAGUUACGAUUUGAUGCAAGGUUAAGCAGUAAAUGUGGAGCCGUAGCGAAAGCGAGUCUGAAUAGGGCGUUUAGUAUUUGGUCGUAGACCCGAAACCAGGUGAUCUACCCUUGGUCAGGUUGAAGUUCAGGUAACACUGAAUGGAGGACCGAACCGACUUACGUUGAAAAGUGAGCGGAUGAACUGAGGGUAGCGGAGAAAUUCCAAUCGAACCUGGAGAUAGCUGGUUCUCUCCGAAAUAGCUUUAGGGCUAGCCUCAAGUGAUGAUUAUUGGAGGUAGAGCACUGUUUGGACGAGGGGCCCCUCUCGGGUUACCGAAUUCAGACAAACUCCGAAUGCCAAUUAAUUUAACUUGGGAGUCAGAACAUGGGUGAUAAGGUCCGUGUUCGAAAGGGAAACAGCCCAGACCACCAGCUAAGGUCCCAAAAUAUAUGUUAAGUGGAAAAGGAUGUGGCGUUGCCCAGACAACUAGGAUGUUGGCUUAGAAGCAGCCAUCAUUUAAAGAGUGCGUAAUAGCUCACUAGUCGAGUGACACUGCGCCGAAAAUGUACCGGGGCUAAACAUAUUACCGAAGCUGUGGAUUGUCCUUUGGACAAUGGUAGGAGAGCGUUCUAAGG
RNAcentral lists this ribosomal RNA (887 nucleotides) under Staphylococcus aureus. Its description in RNAcentral is "partial 23S ribosomal RNA". It matches the Rfam family "Bacterial large subunit ribosomal RNA", at positions 352 to 1246 of the family's 2925-position model. Lineage: Bacteria; Bacillati; Bacillota; Bacilli; Caryophanales; Staphylococcaceae. The record is from RNAcentral.